This 345-nucleotide ribosomal RNA is filed under the name Triticum aestivum (bread wheat). Its description in RNAcentral is "partial small subunit ribosomal RNA". Lineage: Eukaryota; Viridiplantae; Streptophyta; Magnoliopsida; Poales; Poaceae. The record is from RNAcentral.
AUGGAAGGCCUAGCGGCGAUGUGGCUGCAGGCGUACAGAUACAAACACCCUGGAGUCAAUUGGGCAACAUUUAGAGCAGCAGUAGAGGAGGAAUUCGGACCAGAGGAGUUCAAAGUACAGAUGCACACAUUGGUUCAACUGAAACAGACAGGCACAGUUCAGGAAUACCGUCAGGAGUUCGAGACAACCAUGUAUCACUUGCUCUCCUUGGAUCCGACAUUGAGCCCCAAGUUCUUCAUCUCGCAGUUCCUGCUGGGCCUCAAGGACGAGCUCCGUCUUGGCGUGCGGCUCCAGGCACCAACAAGCAUCACAAGGGCAGCUGUGUUUGCACACAUUCAGGAAUAG